RNAcentral lists this ribosomal RNA (423 nucleotides) under uncultured bacterium. Its description in RNAcentral is "partial 16S ribosomal RNA". It matches the Rfam family "Bacterial small subunit ribosomal RNA", at positions 359 to 774 of the family's 1533-position model. The record is from RNAcentral.
GAAUCUUCCACAAUGGACGAAAGUCUGAUGGAGCAACGCCGCGUGAGCGAAGAAGGUUNUCGGAUNGNAAAGCUCUGUUGCGAGGNCAGAACAAGUACGGGAGUAACUGCCCGUACCUUGACGGUACCUCGUCAGAAAGCCACGGCUAACUACGUGCCAGCAGCCGCGGUAAUACGUAGGUGGCAAGCGUUGUCCGGAAUUAUUGGGCGUAAAGCGCGCGCAGGCGGUCCUUUAAGUCUGAUGUGAAAGCCCACGGCUCAACCGUGGAGGGUCAUUGGAAACUGGAGGACUUGAGUACAGAAGAGGAAAGCGGAAUUCCACGUGUAGCGGUGAAAUGCGUAGAGAUGUGGAGGAACACCAGUGGCGAGGGCGGCUUUCUGGUCUGUAACUGACGCUGAGGCGCGAAAGCGUGGGGAGCAAACA